This 433-nucleotide ribosomal RNA is filed under the name uncultured bacterium. RNAcentral's name for it is "partial 16S ribosomal RNA". It matches the Rfam family "Bacterial small subunit ribosomal RNA", at positions 29 to 507 of the family's 1533-position model. The record is from RNAcentral.
AACGAACGCUGGCGGCAUGCCUAACACAUGCAAGUCGAACGAGACCUUCGGGUCUAGUGGCGCACGGGUUCGUAACGCGUGGGAACCUUCCCUUAUGUUCGGAAUAACUCCCCGAAAGGGAUGCUAAUACCGGAUAAUGUCUUCGGACCAAAGAUUUAUCGCCUUUGGAUGGGCCCGCGUUGGAUUAGCUAGUUGGUAGGGUAAAAGCCUACCAAGGCGACGAUCCAUAGCUGGUCUGAGAGGAUGAUCAGCCACACUGGGACUGAGACACGGCCCAGACUCCUACGGGAGGCAGCAGUGGGGAAUAGUGGAAAAUGGGCGAAAGCAUGAUCCAGCAAUGCUGGGUGAGUGAUGAAGGCCUUAGGGUUGUAAAGCUCUUUUACCCGGGAUGAUAAUGACAGUACCGGGAGAAUAAGCUCCGGCUAACUCCGUG